CCCUUAGUUGUUCUGGGCUGCACACGUGCUACACUGGCAGGUUCAGCGAGCUUCAUGCCCUGAUCUGAAAGGAAUGGGAAAUCUUUUCAAAACCUGCCGUGCUUGGGAUAGAUGUUUGCAAUUAUUCAUCUUCAACGAGGAUUGCCUUGUAAGCGCACGUCAUCAGCGUGCAUUGAAUACGACCCUGUAUUCUGUACACACCGCCCGUCGCUCCUACCGAUUGAAGUUUUCGGUGAGUUGACAGGAGGAUUUUUUUGAAACUGGUUCGCCAGUGGAUUUUAGAUCCAAAUGCCAACGAAUCGAUGGCUUUAGAGGAAGGAGAAGUCGUAACA
RNAcentral lists this ribosomal RNA (332 nucleotides) under uncultured eukaryote. RNAcentral's name for it is "partial 18S ribosomal RNA". It matches the Rfam family "Eukaryotic small subunit ribosomal RNA", at positions 1470 to 1796 of the family's 1831-position model. The record is from RNAcentral.